AGAGAGAGACAUGCGCGCAUAUCAAUAAGCGGAGGAAAAGAAACUAACAAGGAUUCCCUUAGUAACGGCGAGUGAAGCGGGAAGAGCUCAAAUUUGAAAUCUUCAAGGUUUUACCUUGACGAAUUGUAGUUUAAAGAAGUGUUUUCUGCUGAAGUUUUGGUAAAAGUUCUUUGGAAUAGGACAUCAUAGAGGGUGAGAAUCCCGUAUUUGACCAUUAUUUUCAGCUUUGUGAUACACUUUCAAAGAGUCGGAUUGUUUGGGAAUGCAGUCCAAAAUGGGUGGUAAAUUUCAUCUAAAGCUAAAUAUUGGCGAGAGACCGAUAGCGAACAAGUACCGUGAGGGAAAGAUGAAAAGAACUUUGAAAAGAGAGUUAAACAGUACGUGAAAUUGUCAAAAGGGAAGCGUUUGACACCAGUGUUGUUUUCUCGAAAAUCAAUUAAAAAUGGCUCGAUUUUGUAUUGUUGAGACCUUAAAAGCUCACUGUACAUUUUUCGUGUCUUUUUUAAUGCACUUUUCGUUUAACAAGUCAACAUCAGUUUCUUUUGUUGUAAAAGGGUCAUUGGAAGGUGGCUUUCUUUUCGGAGAAAGUGUUUAUAGCCUUUGGCCUCUGCAAUCGAAGAGAUUGAGGUCUGCAGCGUAGACUCCUUCGGGGUUAGAUACAUUUGUGCUAAGUUAUAGCCUUUUCAUAGACAACUUGUUGACUAUAAUCAGUCAUGUAGCUUACUCGCUUAUGCCUAUUUUACCUACGCUUAGGAUGUUGAAGAUGUAGCACAUCAU
This 777-nucleotide ribosomal RNA is filed under the name uncultured Neocallimastigales. RNAcentral's name for it is "partial large subunit ribosomal RNA". It matches the Rfam family "Eukaryotic large subunit ribosomal RNA", at positions 23 to 634 of the family's 3401-position model. Lineage: Eukaryota; Fungi; Neocallimastigomycota; Neocallimastigomycetes; Neocallimastigales. The record is from RNAcentral.